AGUGAACGCUGGCGGUAGGCCUAACACAUGCAAGUCGAACGGCAGCACAGAGGAGCUUGCUCCUUGGGUGGCGAGUGGCGGACGGGUGAGGAAUACAUCGGAAUCUACUCUGUCGUGGGGGAUAACGUAGGGAGACUUACGCUAAUACCGCAUACGACCUACGGGUGAAAGCAGGGGGUCUUCGGACCUUGCGCGAUUGAAUGAGCCGAUGUCGGAUUAGCUAGUUGGCGGGGUAAAGGCCCACCAAGGCGACGGUCCGUAGCUGGUCUGAGAGGAUGAUCAGCCACACUGGAACUGAGACACGGUCCAGACUCCUGCGGGAGGCAGCAGUGGGGAAUAUUGGACAAUGGGCGCAAGCCUGAUCCAGCCAUACCGCGUGGGUGAAGGAGGCCUUCGGGUUGUAAAGCCCUUUUGUUGGGAAAGAAAUCCAUCUGGUUAAUACCCGGGUGGGAUGACGGUACCCAAAGAAUAAGCACCGGCUAACUUCGUGCCAGCCGCCGCAGUAA
This 506-nucleotide ribosomal RNA is filed under the name uncultured bacterium. RNAcentral describes it as "partial 16S ribosomal RNA". It matches the Rfam family "Bacterial small subunit ribosomal RNA", at positions 29 to 523 of the family's 1533-position model. The record is from RNAcentral.